This 440-nucleotide ribosomal RNA is filed under the name uncultured bacterium. RNAcentral describes it as "partial 16S ribosomal RNA". It matches the Rfam family "Bacterial small subunit ribosomal RNA", at positions 338 to 795 of the family's 1533-position model. The record is from RNAcentral.
CCUACGGGUGGCAGCAGUGGGGGAUAUUGCACAAUGGGGGGAACCCUGAUGCAGCGACGCCGCGUGGGUGAAGAAGCGCCUCGGCGCGUAAAGCCCCGUCAGCAGGGAAGUAAAUGACGGCACCUGAAGAAGAAGCCCCGGCUAACUACGAGCCAGCAGCCGCGGUAAUACGGAGGGGGCAAGCGUUAUCCGGAUUUACUGGGUGUAAAGGGGGCGCAGACGGCGAUGCAAGCCAGUAGUGAAAGCGCGGGGCCCAACCCCGGGACUGCACUUGGAACUGGGUGGCUGGAGUGCAGGAGAGGCAGGCGGAAUUCGUGGUGUAGCGGUGAAAUGCGUAGAUAUCAGGAGGAACACCGGUUGCGAAGGCGGCCUGCUGGACUGCAACUGACGUUGAGGCCCGAAAGCGUGGGGAGCAAACAGGAUUAGAUACCCUUGUAGUC